UACAGAGGGUGCGAGCGUUGUUCGGAAUCAUUGGGCGUAAAGCGCUUGUAGGCGGCUUGUUAAGUCGCGUGUGAAAUCCCUUGGCUCAACCAAGGAAGUGCGCGCGAAACUGGCGAGCUCGAGUGCCGGAGAGGGUCGCGGAAUUCCCGGUGUAGAGGUGAAAUUCGUAGAUAUCGGGAGGAACACCAGUGGCGAAGGCGGCGACCUGGACGGACACUGACGCUGAGACGCGAAAGCGUGGGGAGCAAACAGG
Molecule: ribosomal RNA, 253 nt
Filed under: uncultured bacterium
Lineage: Bacteria
Also listed under: 1 other name
Description: partial 16S ribosomal RNA
Rfam family: Bacterial small subunit ribosomal RNA
Source: RNAcentral